RNAcentral lists this ribosomal RNA (492 nucleotides) under uncultured bacterium. Its description in RNAcentral is "partial 16S ribosomal RNA". It matches the Rfam family "Bacterial small subunit ribosomal RNA", at positions 29 to 507 of the family's 1533-position model. The record is from RNAcentral.
AUUGAACGCUGGCGGCAUGCUUUACACAUGCAAGUCGAACGGUAACAGGCCUUCGGGUGCUGACGAGUGGCGGACGGGAAAGUAAUGCUACGGAACGAGCCCUGAGGUGGGGGAUAACGCAUCGAAAGCUGUGAUAAUACCGAAUGUGAUCUGCGGAUGAAAGCGGCGGACCAGGCAGCAAUGUUUGGCCUCGCGCCUUUGGGGCGGCCGAUGCCAGAUUCGGUAGUUGGUGGGGUAAAGGCCUACCAGGCCGACGAGCUGUACCUGGUCUGAGAGGACGACAGGCCACACGAGAACGGAGACACGGCCAAGAGGCCUACGAGAGGGAGCAGUGGGGAAUGUUGGGCAAUAGUGGCAAGCCUGACCCAGCAGUGCCGCGCGCGAGAAGGAGGCGUUGGGGUUGUGAACCGCUCUUGUGCGGAACGAAAAUGCUCUGGCUAAUACCUGGCGCUAAUGACGGUACCGUAAGAAUAAGCACCGGCUAACUACGUG